Molecule: small nucleolar RNA, 95 nt
Organism: Corylus avellana
Lineage: Eukaryota; Viridiplantae; Streptophyta; Magnoliopsida; Fagales; Betulaceae
Product: small nucleolar RNA snoR27
Source: RefSeq, a predicted model, not a curated record
AAUGGAUCAGUGAUGCUCAUUUAUACAAUACUGCGUUAUCUUUCUGAAAAAUCCUCUAAGGACUUGAAGAUAACUGUAAUUUACUGAGAUCCCCC